RNAcentral lists this transfer RNA (53 nucleotides) under Argyroneta aquatica (water spider). RNAcentral's name for it is "tRNA-Tyr". Lineage: Eukaryota; Metazoa; Arthropoda; Arachnida; Araneae; Dictynidae. The record is from RNAcentral.
AAUUAAAAAAUCAUUAGAUGGUGAACUGUAAAUUCACAUUUUAUACAACCACU